Molecule: ribosomal RNA, 489 nt
Filed under: uncultured bacterium
Lineage: Bacteria
Description: partial 16S ribosomal RNA
Rfam family: Bacterial small subunit ribosomal RNA
Source: RNAcentral
AGUGAACGCUGGCGGUAGGCCUAACACAUGCAAGUCGAACGGCAGCACAGGAGAGCUUGCUCUCUAGGUGGCGAGUGGCGGACGGGUGAGGAAUACAUCGGAAUCUGCCCAGUCGUGGGGGAUAACGUAGGGAAACUUACGCUAAUACCGCAUACGACCUUCGGGUGAAAGAGGGGGAUCGCAAGACCUCUCGCGAUUGGAUGAGCCGAUGUCGGAUUAGCUAGUUAGCGGGGUAAUGGCCCACCAAGGCGACGAUCCGUAGCUGGUCUGAGAGGAUGAUCAGCCACACUGGAACUGAGACACGGUCAGACUCCUACGGGAGGCAGCAGUGGGGAAUAUUGGACAAUGGGCGCAAGCCUGAUCCAGCCAUACCGCGUGGGUGAAGAAGGCCUUCGGGUUGUAAAGCCCUUUUGUUGGGAAAGAAAUCUUUCAGGCUAAUACCCUGGGAGGAUGACGGUACCCAAAGAAUAAGCACCGGCUAACUUCGUG